Molecule: ribosomal RNA, 1043 nt
Filed under: uncultured Methanoculleus sp.
Lineage: Archaea; Methanobacteriati; Methanobacteriota; Methanomicrobia; Methanomicrobiales; Methanomicrobiaceae
Description: bacterial SSU rRNA
Rfam family: Archaeal small subunit ribosomal RNA
Source: RNAcentral
UCUGGUUGAUCCCGGCAGAGGUCACUGCUAUCGGGGUUCGAUUAAGCCAUGCGAGUCGAGAGGGUUCGGCCCUCGGCGUACUGCUCAGUAACACGUGGAUAACCUGCCCUAGGGAAGGGGAUAACCCCGGGAAACUGGGGAUAAUACCCUAUAGAUUACAGAUGCUGGAAUGCCCUGUAAUCCAAAGUUCCGACGCCCUAGGAUGGAUCUGCGGCCGAUUAGGUUGUUGUUGGGGUAAUGGCCCAACAAGCCCGUAAUCGGUACGGGUUGUGGGAGCAAGAGCCCGGAGUUGGAUUCUGAGACACGAAUCCAGGCCCUACGGGGCGCAGCAGGCGCGAAAACUUUACAAUGCGGGCAACCGUGAUAAGGGAACCUCGAGUGCCUGUAAAUGCAGGCUGUUCAGGUGCCUAAAACACACCUGAAGAAAGGGCCGGGCAAGACCGGUGCCAGCCGCCGCGGUAAUACCGGCGGCUCGAGUGGUGGCCGCUUUUAUUGGGCUUAAAGCGUUCGUAGCUGGGUUGUUAAGUCUCUUGGGAAAUCUGGCGGCUUAACCGUCAGGCGUCUAAGGGAUACUGGCAAUCUUGGAACCGGGAGAGGUGAGGGGUACUUCGGGGGUAGGAGUGAAAUCCUGUAAUCCUCGAGGGACCACCUGUGGCGAAGGCGCCUCACCAGAACGGCUUCGACAGUGAGGGACGAAAGCUGGGGGAGCAAACCGGAUUAGAUACCCGGGUAGUCCCAGCCGUAAACUAUGCGCGUUAGGUGUAUCGGUGACCACGAGUUACCGAGGUGCCGAAGGGAAACCGUGAAACGUGCCGCCUGGGAAGUACGGUCGCAAGGCUGAAACUUAAAGGAAUUGGCGGGGGAGCACCACAACAGGUGGAGCCUGCGGUUUAAUUGGACUCAACGCCGGGAAGCUCACCGGAUAAGACAGCAGAAUGAUUGCCGGGCUGAAGACUCUGCAUGACUAGCUGAGAGGAGGUGCAUGGCCGUCGUCAGUUCGUACUGUGAAGCAUCCUGUUAAGUCAGGCAACGAGCGAGACCCA